RNAcentral lists this transfer RNA (72 nucleotides) under Sphaerodactylus townsendi. Its description in RNAcentral is "tRNA-Ala". It matches the Rfam family "tRNA". From Rfam's summary of the family: Transfer RNA (tRNA) molecules are approximately 80 nucleotides in length. The record is from RNAcentral. Lineage: Eukaryota; Metazoa; Chordata; Lepidosauria; Squamata; Sphaerodactylidae.
AGGGCUGUGGUUCAGUGGUAGAGCAUCUGCUUGGCAUGCAGAAAGUCCCAGGUUCAAUUCCCAGCAUUUCCA